This 435-nucleotide ribosomal RNA is filed under the name uncultured bacterium. Its description in RNAcentral is "partial 16S ribosomal RNA". It matches the Rfam family "Bacterial small subunit ribosomal RNA", at positions 29 to 507 of the family's 1533-position model. The record is from RNAcentral.
AGCGAACGCUGGCGGCAGGCUUAACACAUGCAAGUCGAGCGGGCACUUUCGGGUGUCCGCGGCGGACGGGUGAGUAACGCGUGGGAACGUGCCCUCUGGUUCGGAAUAACUCAGGGAAACUUGAGCUAAUACCGGAUACGCCCUUUUGGGGAAAGGCUUGCUGCCGGAGGAUCGGCCCGCGUCUGAUUAGCUAGUUGGUGAGGUAACGGCUCACCAAGGCGACGAUCAGUAGCUGGUCUGAGAGGAUGAUCAGCCACACUGGGACUGGGACACGGCCCAGACUCCUACGGGAGGCAGCAGUGGGGAAUAUUGGACAAUGGGCGCAAGCCUGAUCCAGCCAUGCCGCGUGAGUGAUGAAGGCCUUAGGGUUGUAAAGCUCUUUUAUCCGGGACGAUAAUGACGGUACCGGAGGAAUAAGCCCCGGCUAACUUCGUG